GUCAAUUCGGGCUCCCCUUUCCAAGUGAACGAGAAGGGAGCAAGCUCAGGAAAGGGGGAGGGGAAGGGAACGAAAACCGGAAUAAUAUAUCGGCAGGGCUCCUCGGGAUGUGGCAAAGCAGAAAUGGAGGACCAGAAAGAAUAACUGGGAAAGACAAAUGAGUCCAGAGAUGCCCUACCCCGCAGACAGGGAUGGAACAGUCCUUUCCAUUGCCAACCGUCCGGGUCUCUAAUCCGCCAAGACACCUCCUGCUAACUGGAUUUGAAGGAAUCCUCGCUCCUUGGGCUGCUAAGGAAGGAUGCAGCCCGGCUCAGAUACUGCCCUACAGGAAUGUACUCAACCCUGUGUAGGUAACACGUGCAUGUUUGGGGCUACGGCUCGCUUUGCCUCAAUGCUAAUGGAAAAUUCAUUUCGUUAAUGACAACAACCCGUUCAUUUUUAAGGGGGGGGGGCGUAAAAGCCCCCUCCCCCCCGCUUCUUGUCUCCACAACCUUUCUGCUCAAGGAAUACCUCCUAUUUUCCUCGGCACUCGGCCGUCUCCUUUGUGAAGGAUGAAAACGGGAACAAGACCUCUCUCUGCACAUGCUAAAGUUGGCACAGGAGUGAAAACACUGGCACUCUACGGAAGCCCGGGGAGGGGAGGAGUCCAAGAAAACCGCGAUCCCCGGCAUUUUCACGCUGCCCCCGGAGUUCAUGCAGCAUGAAGACCUUGCUAUUCUUUUCCAAGAAGAAUGACUACUUCCCCCUUGGAAACCCAGGGGAGCCACAGAGUGGCAGGUCCCUUUCCAGCCAAUGCACUGGGCCAUCUGCCAUCGCGGCCGUUCCGACCCUGAGAGGCAGCCCUAAUCGGUCUGUGUGCAAACUGCAUGGGGAAAGCAAGAUUUUCAACAUGGAAUUGUUUACUCUGUACUGUGUCUUGAACAAUCAUUUUUGGAGCUGAGUACCGAUUCUUCCCCGAUUGUGUCUGAUAUGGCUAGUGUUCUUUAAAUCUGCAAAAAAGUGAUAAACGAGAAAGGAUUAAACAGUAAGAAGUCGACUAAUGAGUAUAUCAAUGGUCUACUCACUGUGUUUGUAACUUUCCUGACCAUAAUUCCCUUUCUGGGCUAUGUGCUGUCUCCCCAUUACAAUGUAAGCUCCUUAUUGGGUAGGUACUGCUUCAUUUUUGUCUUUGUGUCUCCAAUGUUUAGCAUAAUAUUUGGCCGACAGUAAUUACUAAAUAAAAGGUUUGUAUUCAGUUAUUCAUUUUAAAUUAUGAUAUUUUUAUACAAAUAUAUUUUUAACAUUAUAUACACAUGGUAGAAGAGCAGAACAGCAGAGAGCAUCUCUUUCCCUCUUAAGACUCCUUCCCAAAAGGUGUGUUCAUCCAAUAGCAUUAUCCCCAAAUUCCAAAGCACUGUAGUGGGCAGGGUGGAAAGAAGUGGGAAGUUGGGAAAUGGGGCUUUGAAAGCUACCGUUUUUAUCAAACAAUUUCAGCCUAAAGACAAUGACAAAAGCAAACAAUUUUCCUUGGGCAUAUUUGAUUAAUAUUUUAAAGAGAUAGUUAAACAAUCAUCUUUAUAAUUGGUAUUUUAUUAAAAAAGUGGGGGUUAUAAAUUAUAAAGAAGCUUCAGAAAAGGCUUUUUUUCUUUAAAGGAAAGGAGAUAACUCUACGGAAACUGUUUUGAAUUCUCUACUUGAUUAUAUUAAUGAAAAAGAUAAUGGAUUCUGAACUUACUGACGCUGUUCUCCAGGCAUGGAUCCUGUGCAGCACAGUUCCUUCUGUAUGAGACGCAGUAAGAACUGUUCCCAAAUAAAAAGAUUAUUAGUCCAGGCCAAAAAAACAAAACAAAACAAAAAGAUUCCUAAACAUUUUAUAUUGUCUUGGGUGAUUUUUAAGUGGAAUUUCUCUUUCUAACUCCUGUUGCCUGGAUGUGUUGGAAAUAUAUAGAAAUGCUGUUGAUUUACGUGGGUUUAUUUUGUAUCCUGCAACUUUGCUAAAGUUGUUGAUUAUUCCCACUAGCUUUUUAGUUGAUUCUCUAGGAUUCUUUAAGUAGACCAUCAUAUCAUCUGCAAAGAGUGACAGUUUAGUCCCUCAUUGCCUAUUUUGAUGCCUUCAUUUCUUUUUCUUCUCUAAUUGCUACUGCUAGUGUUUCUAGUACAAUGUCAAAUAGUAGAGGUGAUAAUGGGCAUCCUUGUUUCACUCCUGAUCUUAAUGGGAAUGGAUUUAGUUUAUUCCCAUUGCAGCUGAUGUUUGCUGAUGGUUUUAGAUAUAUACUGUUUAUUAUUUUUAGGAACGACCCUUCUAUUCCUAUGCUUUCUAGUGUUUUCAAUAGGAAUGAGUGUUGUAUUUUAUCAAAGACUUUUUUCUGCAUCUAUUGAGAUAAUCAUGAGAUUAUUGUUGGUUUGCUUAUUGAGGUGGUCAAUUAUGUGGAUGGUUUUCCUAAUAUUGAACCAGCCCUGCAUUCCUGGUAUGAAUCCUACAUGGUCAUUGCUGGAGUGAUAAUUGCUACUUCAACAUUCAAGAUUAUCCGUUAGUAGGUUUUGUAAAUAACUGACAAAAUCCCUUGAGAAAUAUGUUUUAGAGUGAAUGCAACACCAAUUUUAACACCAUUUUGAUCUAGAUAAUACUUAAAAAAAAAAAACAGUCCAAGUUAGCACAUGGUAGAAAAAUAAAUUAGAACAAGGACACUUAAAUAAACUGUAAUCAAGAUUUGUGAAGUAGAGGAAAGGCUAGAACAAUGAAGAUUUACUGCUGAGUAUGGUACAUUUCUAGUAUUUUAUUUAGAAACAGCCACAAGAGGAUCUCUAUAAAGAUUAUCCCUCUGUGAAAUGCAAACCAAAACAAUUCCGAGGUAUCUUAUACCCAUUACACUGACUAAAAUGACAAAAGGGCAAAAUGACGAAUGUUGGAGGGGAUGUGGGAAAAUGGGGGCACUAAUAAUACACUGUUGGUGGAGCUGUGAACUGAUCCAACCAUUUUGGAGAGCAAUUUGGAAUUCCAUUCAGAGAAUCAUAAAACUGUGUAUAUAACCUUAGACCCAGCAAAAUAUUGCUGGGUCUGUUUCCCAAGGAGAUCAGGGGAAAAGGAAAAGAACCCAUAUGUUCCAAAAUAUUUAUAGCAGCUCUCUUUGCGGUGGCAAAGAAUAGGAAAUUGAGGGGAUGCCCAUCAACUGAGGAAUGGCUAAACAAAUUGUGGUAUAUGAUUGUGAUGGAAUAAAGAGAGAGUGAAAUGAGUAACACCAAGAGAACAUUCUACACAGCUACUGAAUUACUACUGGAAGAAUAAAUUGUGACUGUUACCUCCAAAGUGUGAACUGAAAGCAAAAACAUAAAAGACUUCAUUUGUGUGAACACGUCAGUCUCCCGGAUGAUACCUUCUGUGAUGUAGGUAGAGGCUGGGACACUGGUGAAUGGGAUUUAGUAUGUAGAUAGGAAGAAAAAUAAGCUAAACACAUAAGAGAUUUGUGACUUCAUUUAUGCACAAUCUCCCUUUUCUUUGUAUAUGGAAAUGCUUAUUUGAUUUGGUUUUGUAAAAUUUGGAAUAAAAAAAGAAUUUUAAAAAAGAUGAUCUCUCUGUUAUAUGCAUUCAUCUUGUAUUUCCUAGACCUACUGUGAACAUACCUCACAGUUCAACUGCCAUAAGUGACAUUAAUAAACUGAAUGUUCGGUUAAAAA
Long non-coding RNA from Monodelphis domestica (gray short-tailed opossum), 3654 nucleotides. RefSeq lists it as uncharacterized. NCBI's taxonomy places the organism in Eukaryota, Metazoa, Chordata, Mammalia, Didelphimorphia, Didelphidae. The record is from RefSeq and is a predicted model, not a curated record.